UUUACGGGAGGCAGCAGUGGGGAAUAUUGGACAAUGGGCGAAAGCCUGAUCCAGCAAUGCCGCGUGAGUGAUGAAGGCCUUAGGGUUGUAAAGCUCUUUUACCCGGGAUGAUAAUGACAGUACCGGGAGAAUAAGCUCCGGCUAACUCCGUGCCAGCAGCCGCGGUAAU
Molecule: ribosomal RNA, 169 nt
Filed under: uncultured bacterium
Lineage: Bacteria
Description: partial 16S ribosomal RNA
Rfam family: Bacterial small subunit ribosomal RNA
Source: RNAcentral